UGAUAAUAUUUGACCUCCGUGACUAUAUCAAUCCAUGUUUCUUUUUGCGAAUCCUUUAUUGUUCAGAAGAACGUGAGAAAGAAGCAGCUGAGAAAGAAAAAGAAUCUGCAGGCCAGCAAGGAGGUGCCGAUUCAUCAGGGGGUGCAGGAUCACAACCAGUGAAAAAAGUAUCUUCCAGAGAGAUGUCUAGUAGCAAAAGUGAAGACAGUCUGGAUGAAGAAUUUGUUGAUCCUCCCUUACCCCCCGAGGAGUCAGUCGAUGACUCUGAUGAGGAGCUGAUUGGCCCACCACUUCCUCCUGGCUACAACAACGAAGAGGAUGAUGAUGAUGAUGAUGACGAUGAUGAUGAAAGUGCCCAGGAAGAAGAUGAGCUUUUAUGACCAUUUACUGACGUUGCUGCUGUGCUUGUGACGUGAGGAUGAGAGAAGAGAAAAGUCAUUAAAUACAUGGGGAC
This 454-nucleotide long non-coding RNA is filed under the name Laticauda laticaudata (blue-ringed sea krait). RNAcentral describes it as "lncRNA (ENSLLTG00000013807.1)". Lineage: Eukaryota; Metazoa; Chordata; Lepidosauria; Squamata; Elapidae. The record is from RNAcentral.